AACGAACGCUGGCGGCAUGCCUAACACAUGCAAGUCGAACGAGAAGGUGUAGCAAUACACUUGUAAAGCGGCGAACGGGUGAGGAAUGCAUGGGUAACCUACCCUCGAGUGGGGAAUAACUAGCCGAAAGGUUAGCUAAUACCGCAUACGUUUCCGGAACUUCGGUUUCGGAAAGAAAGCAAUACCGUGGGUAUUGCGCUCCUGGAUGGGCUCAUGUCCUAUCAGCUUGUUGGUGAGGUAACGGCUCACCAAGGCUUCGACGGGUAGCUGGUCUGAGAGGACGAUCAGCCACACUGGCACUGCGACACGGGCCAGACUCCUACGGGAGGCAGCAGUAAGGAAUAUUGCGCAAUGGACGAAAGUCUGACGCAGCGACGCCGCGUGGGGGGAUGAAGGUCUUCGGAUUGUAAACCCCUUUCGGGAGGGAAGAUGGAGUGGGUAACCACUUGGACGGUACCUCCACGAAGCAGCCACGGCUAACUUCGUGCCAGCAGCC
RNAcentral lists this ribosomal RNA (496 nucleotides) under uncultured bacterium. Its description in RNAcentral is "bacterial SSU rRNA". It matches the Rfam family "Bacterial small subunit ribosomal RNA", at positions 29 to 516 of the family's 1533-position model. The record is from RNAcentral.